AGGACGAACGCUGGCGGCGUGCUUAACACAUGCAAGUCGAGCGGUGAUCCUCCUUCGGGAGGUGAUCAGCGGCGAACGGGUGAGUAACACGUGGGCAACCUGCCCCUCACACUGGGAUAACCUCGGGAAACCGGGGCUAAUACCGGAUACGACCUCGAGCGGCAUCUCUUGAGGUGGAAAGCUCCGACGGUGAGGGAUGGGCCCGCGGCCUAUCAGCUUGUUGGUGGGGUAAUGGCCUACCAAGGCGACGACGGGUAGCCGGCCUGAGAGGGCGACCGGCCACACUGGGACUGAGACACGGCCCAGACUCCUACGGGAGGCAGCAGUGGGGAAUAUUGCGCAAUGGGCGAAAGCCUGACGCAGCGACGCCGCGUGAGGGAUGAAGGCCUUCGGGUUGUAAACCUCUUUCAGCAGGGACGAAGCGAAAGUGACGGUACCUGCAGAAGAAGCACCGGCUAACUACGUGCCAGCAGCCGC
Molecule: ribosomal RNA, 477 nt
Filed under: uncultured bacterium
Lineage: Bacteria
Description: SSU rRNA
Rfam family: Bacterial small subunit ribosomal RNA
Source: RNAcentral